This is a long non-coding RNA of Felis catus (domestic cat), 6039 nucleotides long. RefSeq lists it as uncharacterized. The transcript is spliced from 4 exons. The record is from RefSeq and is a predicted model, not a curated record. NCBI's taxonomy places the organism in Eukaryota, Metazoa, Chordata, Mammalia, Carnivora, Felidae.
UCAUAAUGUUCUGAGCUGAGAAAACCAAGAAAAUUCCAUUUCCUGACCUAUGGACUCAUGGGAUGUUCUGAAGAUUAAUGUGUCUCUUUCAGGGCACUAAGGUACAUUUAGAGCACUAAAGAAGUCAUUUACUAAAUGGUGCCCUUGGGACUUGAAAGAGUUAAUGUACCUCUCACAAGUCCUUUCUUAUCUACUUCCUAUUCCAUAAAGUGGAUGUUUCUCUCCAGAAGUCAAGUGAAUAAGGUAUUUUCCCUAAUUACUCCUCAUAACUUAUUUUUAGUAUUUUAUACCAACAGAAAGAAAAAAUAAGUUCAGAAACCUAAUGUGUAAAUGAGUUGACAUACAGUUCUACCUAAAACUCAAUUAAUAUGAAACAGCAACUUUUACCAAGAAAAAUUAUUCUUACUUUUGAAAUUAGAAAUAUAAACCAAGUUAGUAUUGAAUAGUGGUUUAAACUGUAGGUACUGAAGUUUGGGGUGGAAUCAUAUCUGAGCACAUAGUUCUCCAAGAUUUAGUUUUGCAAGUGUUAUAAAACAGAGAUGCAAGUCUGGCAUGUUUUCUAAUUUGGGUAGAGGAAGUUUGGGGGAUUUUUCCUAAGAAUAUUUUAUUCUUAGAGAAUAAAGUGAACAGUAGCCAUACAAUUAGUUUCUAGAAAAACAAAUUUGUACAAAACUAUUGUAUUUCAUAUAUUAAAUAAAAAAGUUAAUAUGAGAAACUUGAUUUAAAAAUUUAGUAAUGAAUUUCUAACUUUACAUACUUGAACUAAUCACUUUCCAACUUCUGAAAUAUGGAGAGCAAGGAAAAAUAAUCAAGUUUGUGUUUUCUAGAUCAACUGCCAUAACAAAUUAUUAUUAUAUUUAGAAACAUAUUUGAUUCUAAACAUAUACAAGAAGAUAAUCUGGAUCAUUUAUGGUAAGAAAAAUAUUUUAAAUGGACUAUCCAGGUAAGUGAAUUAAAUUAUACACUAUGUAUAAAAUGGGCACUAAAUCUGCUCAAACAUCUAUCAACUCCAGAGACAUCCUAAAAAGAAUCACUAGGUUAAGAGUCACCCCACAUGUCUAGCCUAGUCUCUGUUCCUUCUUAGAUCCCUUUCUGCAGUAUCAAAGGUUGACAUCAGUUAUUGAGAGCAAUGUUUUCCUUUUAUCUUAGUGAUACUAUAACCUACUCCACAGACCCUCUACUUUUUUCUCUCUGGGUGAAGUAGAAAUAAGCUUGACCAUCAAAGUUUGCAGACAAGUCUGUUUUUCUCAUGCCAAGAGUAGCCACAGAUGUAUCCUUUUCUAUGGUGAAGCUAGAACAGAAAUCCCUUGGGAAAGGUGCUAGGUUUCAAGAACCUGCUAGAUAUAUUGGUUGUUGGGCCACUGUGAUACAUGUAGCAACAACAAUAUUUAUAUUUCACAUUUUCUUCAUAAAAAUUCCCUUUGUGGAAAAAAAGAGGAACAUCUUAUAAUUUCUAUUUUAAUUCUUUCCAAUAUAUAUUAUUAAUGGAAAUGAAAAUUUUAAUGACUCUCUGAUUUUAUUUAACCUCAUGCAUAUAAGCAUCUUGACAAUUUUCCUCUAUGAAGAAAAUGUAUCCGUCAACAAGUACUAUGCAUGCAUCUUAUUUCUUCACAAUUAAAGUUUAACUAAAAGCAAAAGAUACUAAUGCAUGGCUAAUUUUACAAUGCAAGCAGAUGUUGUUGUUAGAAGAACAUCUUCCAUUGUUAGCCUCUGGCUCCAGUGACUGCCAUCCAAAGAAUGCAGAGGAAGAAACAAUUUGGAGAGCAAGAGAUGCCGUUUGCUAGGGGCACAGAACACGACAGCCAGUUGGAAGUCAUUAAAUUCAGAUGCAGCUGCAUUUCUGACAAGAGUUCUUGGCCACCCCUGCUCUGUCUCCAUCCAGAAUAGUUCUUGCGGGGCACACUGCUCAGAUAUGAUAUAAAGGUAUUGGAAAGAAAACCUCUCUUAUGGAAACAGCAACAAAUUCCAAACUAUCUGGGUAGCACAAGCAAUUUACUCUCCUUCAACUUAAAGAAUUGUUGCUUUAUGGCCAUUUUCCUUGAGUUUAUUGAUUUCAUAUGCAGUUUUUUUUUUACAAUGCCAUAAUGCAUCUGGGCUUCAUGCACAGAGACAGAAAGGAUAACUAACAUUGGUGUCAUCUGUCAACCCAAAGUAAUCAAUGGCACCUGGUCUCUACUUAGAAGUGCAAAGCAUCAAGGAGCAAAGUCUCUUCAAUCAAAGUGCCUCAAGGACAAGAAAGGCAAGGAUGUUGCAGAAGAGAAAACAACAAAAAUAAGAAAAAAAUCCUAAUGUUAAAUGUUUGUUCGAAAGUAUCAUGUUUAAGUUUUACGGCAUCUUUUGUCAAAUGCCACUUUAGUGGCAUUGUAAAUGCUUAGUCAUUUGUGUGUCAAUGUUUGCUCUAUCCACUAAGAAAAGGUGUGGGUUGCUUAAUAAUUUCCAAAGGUUAUUAAUAUGUGUAUUCAAGGAAUAUGGAUCCACUUUAACAGAACAUAAUUAGGAAGGAAAUUUGCUGCCACAUCAAAGUCCUAUAAUACUUUAUUAAUAUACAAAAACUUAAAUAGAAUCUUGUUUCACUUACAUAUAUCUGUGUACCCAUUCAUUACUGUCAGCAAAAAACAAAUAAUGAAAUACUGAGUAGAAAUUUAUAAUACUCAGAGGCAGACCCAAGCAAAAUUCUGGAGUGGAUGAAACCAUUCUUUCUUCUUUCUAACCUUUCAAGGCCUGUGUUUUUAUUCCACAAAUCCAACAACUAUGCCCACUAAUGAGUGGUCUCAUGUAAUUCCAUUGUUGCCCUCUUGUUAUGGACUGAUUAUUUGUGUCAUCCAAAAUUCACUUGCUGAAGUCCUUACCUCCAAUGUGAUGAUAUUAGGGGGUGGGGCCUUUGGAGGUGAUCAGGUCAUGAAGGUGGAGCCCUCAUGAAUGGGAUUAGUACCCUUAUAAAAUAGAACCCACACAACCAUUUAUGAGGAAGCUGGUCCUCACCAAACUCCAAAUCUGCCUGCACCUUGUACCUCCCAGUCUCUAGAGCUUUGAGAAAUACUUAUUGUUUAAGCCACCUGGUCUAUGGUACUUUUAUUAUAGCCGCCCAGACAGACUAAGAUACCCUUCACAAAUUGAACUAGCACAGGAUUUUUUACAGCAUUGUAAACAGCUUGCUCUACCCCAACCUCUUCUCAAAUAACUUGAUUCUCCUUUAGCCACCACGAGUAGGCAGGGAACAUCUUGACCACAUUGCUCCAGCCUUAGACAAUGGGACCACUGAGGAACUUUGCUUUAAUCAGACCUAAUGGACACAGAGUUACUGGUAACUCAUGAUUUAUGUAGCCUUCUUUAUCACAAAGAGCAGGUUCAGUCAGGUCCCUAUCUAAGAAAUUUGAAGCAAUAAUACAGUUACAGUGAAAGGUAUAUGUUUGAGUUAAAGAAAAAAAAAGGAGGGAUAAGGUAGAGUAAGAACUGCAGUGGCAAAUACGAGUCAUUGUGCAUGAGAGGUUAUGAGGGAGAAAAACCUCAGAGGAAAACAGUUAAGAGAGAGAUGAAUGAGAUACACUCAUGGAAAGUGGAGCACUAAGAGAAAUCCUGUGACCCCAGAGAAGUGGGAGAAGAGCUUUAAUCCUUCAUGUUUCCAUUUGUAGUUCCUAUUCACAUGAGGCCUGGCUCUGAUUAUCGCCUUGCCCUUGAGAUCCAUGAACUUGCUGUAUUCAGAAAAUGUCAUUCCAUUUUUCUGAAGCUAGUUUGAUUGAAUCUUUGUUACUUGUUAACCAAUUUAUUCAAUACGUUAUUCACCAAAUUAAUAUGGAAAACAAUAAUUCUUGCACUUGUAAAGCAUUUUCUAAUUCAUCAAGAUUUUCAUAAGCAUUAUCUUUUUUUAUCCUUAUAGCAAGCAUGUGAGGUAAGCAGGACAGGUAUUGAUAUCUUCAAUUAAAAUGAGAAAAUGGAAUUUCUGCAAGCUGUAGUAAUUAUACAGACUCCCAAAACUUAUAGGAGUAAAAAUAGGACUGGAACCUUGAAUUUGCUGUCAGUUUUGUCACUGAAUUAUAUCUGAACACACACACACACACACACACACGCACGCACACACACACACACACACACACCCCAGGAUUUCUAGGUCAUUUCAUCCCUUAUUUUUAAAAUACAAAAUUUGAUCACAAUUAUAAGCAUAAAACAUAAAACUGCUUUCUAGCUCUUCUGUCGUCUUCUCUGAAAAAAAAAAACCCUCAGAUUCCUCUUAAAACCUCUGAUAAUAUCCGCAUACCAUUAUUCUGACCUUUACAUUACUUCUCAGUUUUCUCUCUUCCUAUUCUAACUUGACUUUCAGGCACAUACUGUGGGACACUGCUAAUGAAAGCAGCAACUUCACUGGCAAUGGUUACUAAGAGUGCUGCUGUGAUAUGGAAACCAUAUCAAUAUAGUUGCACCCACAUUGCUGAUGCCCUAUGGAAAUGCCAAUGUCCAUAGUCAUUCUAUAGAUAAUCUCAUGGUAGCUGAAUAUACCAGAGUCCCAAGAAGUAAACAUCUGCCAAGGUCAAAAUGCUGUGAAGAUGCCAAUGCCAGUGACCAAUACAAACACCACUGUCUGUGCCAUUUUUGGUUUCUGUUGAAGACUCUAUCACAGCAAGACUUCUGGUUCUUCUUCAGCAUCUUAAAGAAAGUUUCAGUGAAAUGACCCAUGAGGAGCACAUCCCAGGCUCAAGCAAAGAACACUGUGACACAAGGGAACUCCUUCACCUCUAAAAAAAGCCUUAUAUCAUUCAGGUGCGAUUUGAGCAAAUCAUACGUUACUGUCAUUCACUCAUUCAUUCAUUCAUUCAUUCAUUCAACAAAUACUUAUCAAGCACUUAUAUGUUGCUCUUGAUAUGUAAAGCAACAAACCAGACAGGUCCAUUCCUUGAAUCUGUUGCAUUUAAAUUCUAGAAUAACAAAUUCUGGUAGCUCAUUACUCCUUUUGUUGGAACAGAACUGUUUGUAUCCAACAUCUGGAUGUUCCUGGUAGCAGAAGCACUUUCUCCCUUCCUUUUCAAACACUGGAAAUAAACUAUGUCAUAGAAACUUCUCAUACAAAUCAUAUAAGCCAUAAAUUCAGUGGUACAUCUUUUGGGGUGGAUAAAGGACUUGCAGUUAUCAAGUUCUCUCCGGAGUAGACACAGUUAGGAAGAUGCCUCAUAGUGCAUGAAGAGAGUUAGUGAAUAGUCUGAGUGGAGGUCUUGACUAAGGAGUUUGCUAGAGAAGACGCAAUGUGAACUGAAGCUGUGGGCUGUACAGCAGACAGCCUGGGUCAGACACAUGUGGAGAUCAUAGAUCAAUAUCAGGGGUCCACAGCCCAGGGGGAUCACAGUCCUGGACAUUCCCUACUGACAGAGACUACAAUCAGUCUCUGAGAUAUAUAUCCUGGAUGUUAUACCAACAAACCCUUGCAGAAUGCUGAAGGGCAGCAGUGCCCUUCAUUUGUCACUAGUCUGGUUUUCAGCAUCGACCAAUCACACUUAGGUGGACACCAGUGAGGAACCUGAGAACCUGCCUUGGUUGAAGGACUUCCAGAGACCUACCUGUCACAUAUGGUGCCACAUGUCCUUCACAUCCAGACUACAUCCUAGAAAGAAACAAAAAGAACUUGGAGGUAGGGGGAGAGUGGAGAAUUUGUAAAGUUUUACAGUUUAUCUAAAAGAGAAUGAGUCAACUAAAGAUACCAUUUAAAUUUUUGGAUAAGCAACAUAUAUUAUCCUAAGCUUAGUUUUGUUUUGCUCAUGUGUACUACCAUACUGUGUGUGGGAUCGGGGAGAGGAAAUUCUGAGAAGAUCAGAUAAUUUAAUAGAAAAGAAAUUAUACAUUUUGUACAUAACUUAGUACAGUGAAAACAAAUUUAUAAACCUGUAUAUUAUUUUAACUCACAAGAAUGAAAAUAUACUUGUGAAAUAUGGAUCACCACUUUUUAUCAGGUGUUGACUUUUGCUUCAAGUACAUUUAAAAAUUAUUGGUUCAUUGGGACGCCUGGGUGGCUCAGUCGGUUAAGUGUCCGACUUCAGCUCAGGUCACGAUCUC